Molecule: long non-coding RNA, 353 nt
Organism: Clupea harengus (Atlantic herring)
Lineage: Eukaryota; Metazoa; Chordata; Actinopteri; Clupeiformes; Clupeidae
Source: Ensembl
GUGGGGCCAGACUCUUUCAUCUUGAGGGCACAGACAGGCGUCUCCUGUGUGUGAGGAAGGUUGCCCCACAGGUUAGAGUGUGUGUGUGUGUGUGUGUGUGAGGAAGGUUGCCUCGGUCGAAGCCUGUGAAGGUCAUCCUGAGGAGCGGUGCCAUAUUUCCCCACGGCAGGCUGGCAGUGAACGGAGAGUUGGCACAGAGACGAGACGGCAGCCGGGGUUCAGUCAAAGGUCACGGUUCAGUCAAAGGUCAUGGGUUCAGUCAAAGGUCAUGGGUUCAGCCAAAGGUCAUGGGUUCAGUCAAAGGUCAGGGUUCAGUCAAAGGUCAUGUCACCUCUUGUGGGAGAGUGGUGUCU